This 253-nucleotide ribosomal RNA is filed under the name uncultured bacterium. RNAcentral describes it as "partial 16S ribosomal RNA". It matches the Rfam family "Bacterial small subunit ribosomal RNA", at positions 524 to 776 of the family's 1533-position model. The record is from RNAcentral.
UACAGACGGUCCAAACGUUAUUCGGAAUCACUGGGCUUAAAGAGUUCGUAGGCGGUCAGGAAAGUGGGGUGUGAAAGCCCUCGGCUCAACCAAGGAAGUGCAUCCGAAACUGCUGUGCUUGAGUACUUAAGAGGAUCGCGGAAUUCCCGGUGUAGAGGUGAAAUUCGUAGAUAUCGGGAGGAACACCAGUGGCGAAGGCGGCGAUCUGGGAAGAUACUGACGCUGAGGUGCGAAAGCGUGGGGAGCAAACAGG